CAUCCUCCAAGGCUAAAUACUCCUGACUGACCGAUAGUGAACCAGUACCGUGAGGGAAAGGCGAAAAGAACCCCGGCGAGGGGAGUGAAAAAGAACCUGAAACCGUGUACGUACAAGCAGUGGGAGCCCCACCACUAAGCCAGUGGUGAACUCCACAUACGCAUCCUUCGCUGAGGAUACGGUUAACGGAGCGAAAGCGACGUUCAACCGCAAAAGAAGCAGAGGGGGCUUAGUGGUGGGGUGACUGCGUACCUUUUGUAUAAUGGGUCAGCGACUUAUAUUCUGUAGCAAGGUUAACCGUAUAGGGGAGCCGUAGGGAAACCGAGUCUUAACCGGGCGUUAAGUUGCAGGGUAUAGACCCGAAACC
Molecule: ribosomal RNA, 367 nt
Filed under: Salmonella enterica subsp. enterica serovar Michigan
Lineage: Bacteria; Pseudomonadati; Pseudomonadota; Gammaproteobacteria; Enterobacterales; Enterobacteriaceae
Description: partial 23S ribosomal RNA
Rfam family: Bacterial large subunit ribosomal RNA
Source: RNAcentral